CAGGCAAAAUCGCCGCACGGCACUAAAUUGGAGGCGUUUGCCAACCGGGUCGCCUAAUCCUGAGGAGCUCCAAGGGAAAAGAAGGGACGUGCUGAAAAUGUAGUUGGACGCGCGGCCAGGGUUCGGAAUUAAGCCUCUAAUUUUAGAUUAGAUUUCACAAGUUAAUCGUCGGAUGUGGUUGAAACUGCAGCCAGAAUGGAAAAAUCGCUAGCGGCGAAAACCAGCGCGAGUCCGCACGGAGCCAAUUGUUCCGGAGGAUAGCGCAGCGUCCGCGUAAGAGGGGCCGGAGGCAGUGCGUCGGUGGACUUGGAGAUGACCACGUGGCCAGCGCGGGCAUUCGUUCCUGGAACGGACUCACCGAGGGAAUCUCCGUAUCUGGCCGUCUCGGAGGCAGUCGCUGUAGCUGCUGGUGCUGGAGGCUGCUGCUGCUGCUCCUGAUCGCUGCUGCGGCUGAUGC
Long non-coding RNA from Drosophila gunungcola (fruit fly), 457 nucleotides. RefSeq lists it as uncharacterized. The transcript has 3 exons. Lineage: Eukaryota; Metazoa; Arthropoda; Insecta; Diptera; Drosophilidae. The record is from RefSeq and is a predicted model, not a curated record.